CACGCUGUAAACGAUGAUAACUCGUUGUCGGCGAUACACAGUCGGCGACUUAGCGAAAGCGUUAAGUUAUCCACCUGGGGAGUACGAUCGCAAGGUUGAAACUCAAAGGAAUUGACGGGGGCCCGCACAAGCGGAGGAGCAUGUGGUUUAAUUCGAUGAUACGCGAGGAACCUUACCUAGACUUGAACGUAUUAGUAAUAUAUGAGAAAUCAUAUAGCUAUUUAUAGACUUUUACGAGGUGC
This 242-nucleotide ribosomal RNA is filed under the name uncultured Rikenella sp. Its description in RNAcentral is "partial 16S ribosomal RNA". It matches the Rfam family "Bacterial small subunit ribosomal RNA", at positions 796 to 1041 of the family's 1533-position model. The record is from RNAcentral. Lineage: Bacteria; Pseudomonadati; Bacteroidota; Bacteroidia; Bacteroidales; Rikenellaceae.